AAAGAAUGACUUUGGUUUAACUUGUUCUGCUCACAUGAAGGAGCUACUGUACUUUAUAGUCGCAUUAGCAUUAUAAAAGAGUAGACCCGAGGUUAGCUGAGGGGUUACACAGAAGCUAUAGCUUGUCUCUGGACCAAUGAUUCAAGUGGGAAAGGCUUGGUCCCCAGCCUGCAGUGGUAUUGGGAGGUGACGGAACCCUUAAAAGGCGGGGCCUCACGGCAGGAAGUGAGGUCACUAGGAUGCCACCCCCUUCUCUUUCAUCUCCAGCUGCCACCAGGCAAGCAGCUUCCUCCACCCGGGGCAUGGGCCAUGUUCUACCUUGCGCGGGUCCCACAGCAAUGGAGCCCCCUGACUGCAGGCUGGCAGUCCUGCAUCUGGAGCCAAAACAAACCUUUCCUCACUUGCCGCUGAUUCUCUCAGGUGCUCUGUCGUGCUGACGACAGCAAAAACAGGAGGAAGAACAAUGCUCUGACAGAGGGCACUUAAAUUACACCGACACCACUUUCAACUCUGUGGCAACCAAGAUAAACUACGUGGAAUUCACAGGAAAGCCGAGGAGCUUGCGUGCCAGAUCUCUGUGGGGAGGAGAUGCCUGAGCCAAUCUUUACAUAUGCGUUGGGAAAACCCGGAUGGAGAAAGGAAGAAGGAAGGUUUUGCGAGAAGGAACUAUUUACAGAGUCGAGAGGCAUGUAAUUACAACAUCUGUGUCCUCUCAGCGUGGGAAGCUGUUGAUUAUCUUCAGUUAUAAAGAAACACCUAGGACAUAAAACAUGGAAGGACAGAAGAGUUCUAGCGUCAAGGAGAUUGCUGAAAUUCUAGCAUUACGAAGGUGAUUUUCAUGAAGAUCCCACACCCAGUGGAGUUUGGAUGGAGACUUCUGUUGCAAAAGAGAGGAGAUCAUCUUUCCCUGGACCCUGAACUUCUGAAAAAAUCCAUUCAUUCUUUUGCCUUGCAAUGGCAAGCAGAAACAUCAAAACGACACCCAGGAUUAGGAGGCAGAUUUAUUUACGGCGACGGGCACCGACAGGGAAUCAAUUGUCCCUCAACAUGUCAGGCCCUGAAGGCUCAGGGAGGGAGGUUUUUAUGGGGUUGCAAACAAAAAGCAGAGUAUUUGGCUGACUUUGAUUGGUUCUUACAACAUCCAUCAUAGUGACCAGUUAUGCAUCACAGUGACCCGCCAUUUCAAGGAGACAGUGGUGACAGGAACUGUAACAGGAACCUGGGCAACUAACAAGUUGGCUGGGAGAAUUUUCUGCUACAGGCUUGCAUCCUCAUUGUGUCUGCCUGGCAGAGGUGAUGGGCAUCUGGCAGGUUAGAGAAGAUUCUUUGACCUAAUGGCCUACCAUUAGGUCCUAAAGCUGUAUCUGACUCUACUAGAUAUUUGCUUAGAAUGCUAAUAAUUUGCAUGUUUGGUGUAUUUGUACCUCUGCAGUAGUUUCUGAAAAUGGGACAAAAAUCCUGUAUGGCCAUUCUGUUAAACUCUACUAAGCUGUAAACACGAGAGAUCCGGGUCCAUUAUCCUGCUGUCCUCAUUUUAUAUCUCUAAUAUUAAGGUAGUAUUUGAAAAACUAGGUAUUCAGUGAAUGCGUAUUGAAUGAAUGAAAGGCCAGAUGUAAUGCAAAGAAAAGCUGAUCCUAAAUUCUGUGAUCCACAUUAGAUGGAGAAAAUAUAAUCCUGGAAAUAUGUACCUGGAGAAAUUGCUGUCAUCAUUUUCAUGCUUUAUAGCAUCUAAAGUUCUUAAAUUGGUCCCUCUGAUACCAUUGUGUUUAUUGUGUGGAUUUCUAUACUCUUAUAUUUUGGUUUAAUUUUCUACUUAUUAGUUAAAUAAUUACCUUGUGAGAACUGUGGGAAUAUACUUAAAAUAUUACUGUUGUUUUACAGAGUUCUGCUGUAAUGUAAUGACUAUGACUAGGAUCUCAAAUCUGUUUGGAAUUAUUAAAAGGCACAGUCUAACACAUAUUUUUACUUUUGUGCAUUCUUUCCCAAAUCACAUUGCACUAAUUCCUCUUGGGCCUAAGUGAUUUUUUUCAGUUUUGUACUCAUUCUAAUAUACCAGCUUCUUUUGCUGUGCUUUAAAAUUUUCUUUCUGAAAUCUUUGUUUUAAAGCAAAGCAUUCAAGGUAAAAUUUAAGUUCCAAUUCAGUCUGUCAGAUCAAUAUGAACAAAAUUUAAUGAAAAUUACUGAAUGUUGUGUUUUAUAAUUCCUUGGAAAAUUCUAGACCUUUACCCCAUGCCCAAGUGGAGUCCCUGAAGAAAUCAGCCAAGAGUUAUCUUUAGUUAUAUUAGUGGAAUUUCUUGAUAGGAAAAAUCCUGAGAUAUUCUUACCAAGAACACAAACAAAAGUAGUCAAAGGGUUCUGUUCCAGUGUUUUAAAAAUGUAUGGAAGAGGAGAAAUGGCAUAAACCUCUUUCAGAGGUCAUAUUCUAAAAAUUUCUAGGAGUUUACAGAGAUUCCUAAAGAAAUGACUUACAUACUCAGCCAAUUGCUUGGCUAUUUCAGGUACUUAUAGGAAGCCUUAGAAGGCAUGUUACCAAGGAAACCUUUUCCUCACUGGCAAAAGAUAAUUGUCCAUGCAUAGCUGGGCUGUAAUCUUGAUAUACUCCAAUUUUAUCUAUUUUAGCACCAGAGGAGAAAACAUUGUCAGAACCAGAAGCAGAAGGAUAAAAGCAAUUUUACCACCUCUAGUUGAUUGUUAAUAUGGACAGCAAUGCUCAUUAUAGUGAUGAUACUAUUAAUAAAAUUAUUAUAAACAUAUAUAAAUCAUUCUAUCUUAGUCUACUGGGACCCCUAUAAGUAAAGAACCAUAGACUAGGUGGCCUGAAGAACGAACAUUUAUUUCUCACGGUUCUGGAGGCCAUGUUAUCCAGGAUUCAAGCCCUAGCUGACUCCAUGUUUGGUCAGGGUCCACUUCCUGCUUCAGAGAGGGCUGUGUUCUCAUUGUGUCCUCAAUGGUGCUAUUGUCUGAAGUCCAAAGCCCUCAUGUUCUAAUGCCACUGCACUGCUAAUUGGGCUUCCAAGUAUGCACUGAAGGAUAUAAACGUUCAGUCUACAGCAAACCUGUCUGUAGUUUUA
Molecule: long non-coding RNA, 3071 nt
Organism: Chinchilla lanigera (long-tailed chinchilla)
Lineage: Eukaryota; Metazoa; Chordata; Mammalia; Rodentia; Chinchillidae
Exons: 5
Source: RefSeq, a predicted model, not a curated record